UGUCCCUUAAAGUUAUGGUUUUUUGAAAA
This 29-nucleotide non-coding RNA is filed under the name Rattus norvegicus (Norway rat). The record is from RNAcentral. Lineage: Eukaryota; Metazoa; Chordata; Mammalia; Rodentia; Muridae.